GAUGAACGCUAGCGGGAGGCUUAACACAUGCAAGUCGAGGGGCAGCAUAGGGUAGCAAUACUCUGAUGGCGACCGGCGCACGGGUGAGUAACGCGUAUGCAACCUACCCUGUACUGGGGGAUAACCCGGAGAAAUUCGGACUAAUACCCCAUGAAGAUAUUGAUGGGCAUCCAUUGAUAUUUAAAGUUCUGGCGGUACGGGAUGGGCAUGCGUAACAUUAGCUAGUUGGCAGGGUAAUGGCCUACCAAGGCAUCGAUGUUUAGGGGUCCUGAGAGGGUGAUCCCCCACACUGGUACUGAGACACGGACCAGACUCCUACGGGAGGCUG
This 328-nucleotide ribosomal RNA is filed under the name uncultured Bacteroidota bacterium. Its description in RNAcentral is "bacterial SSU rRNA". It matches the Rfam family "Bacterial small subunit ribosomal RNA", at positions 28 to 351 of the family's 1533-position model. Lineage: Bacteria; Pseudomonadati; Bacteroidota. The record is from RNAcentral.